Molecule: transfer RNA, 73 nt
Filed under: bacterium
Lineage: Bacteria
Description: tRNA-Phe
Rfam family: tRNA
About the family: Transfer RNA (tRNA) molecules are approximately 80 nucleotides in length. Their secondary structure includes four short double-helical elements and three loops (D, anti-codon, and T loops). Further hydrogen bonds mediate the characteristic L-shaped molecular structure. tRNAs have two regions of fundamental functional importance: the anti-codon, which is responsible for specific mRNA codon recognition, and the 3' end, to which the tRNAs corresponding amino acid is attached (by aminoacyl-tRNA synthetases). tRNAs cope with the degeneracy of the genetic code in two manners: having more than one tRNA (with a specific anti-codon) for a particular amino acid; and 'wobble' base-pairing, i.e. permitting non-standard base-pairing at the 3rd anti-codon position.
Source: RNAcentral
GGCUCUGUAGCUCAGUUGGUAGAGCAGAGGACUGAAAAUCCUUGUGUCGGCGGUUCAAUUCCGUCCGGAGCCA